CUGCACAGCUCGGGGGCGGCCGUGGCAGGAGCGUCCUCACCGUCCUGUGUCCUCCCCGCCUCCGCCUGUCCCGGGGGGACCACAGGAUCCUGGGCUGUGUCCCCCGCGCC
This 110-nucleotide microRNA precursor is filed under the name Canis lupus familiaris (dog). RNAcentral's name for it is "miRNA (ENSCAFG00000055103.1)". The record is from RNAcentral. Lineage: Eukaryota; Metazoa; Chordata; Mammalia; Carnivora; Canidae.